Molecule: long non-coding RNA, 155 nt
Organism: Perca flavescens (yellow perch)
Lineage: Eukaryota; Metazoa; Chordata; Actinopteri; Perciformes; Percidae
Exons: 2
Source: RefSeq, a predicted model, not a curated record
GGACGGCUCAUGUACUCUGGAGUUUAUUCAAAGGUGCUUCUUGGGUAUUAACCCUGAGGUGGGCUCCAAAUCGAAGAAAAAACAGCUGGGAGGCAUCAACCCACAUGUGAGCACACUCAUGAGAAAACUUGUGGACUUUGAAUGGAUGUCGAUGU